CCUAGAGGGGGACAACAGUUGGAAACGACUGCUAAUACCGCAUACGAUCUAAUCUCGGCAUCGAGGAUAGAUGAAAGGUGGCCUCUACAUGUAAGCUAUCACUGAAGGAGGGGAUUGCGUCUGAUUAGCUAGUUGGAGGGGUAACGGCCCACCAAGGCGAUGAUCAGUAGCCGGUCUGAGGGGAUGAACGGCCACAUUGGGACUGAGACACGGCCCAG
RNAcentral lists this ribosomal RNA (218 nucleotides) under uncultured bacterium. Its description in RNAcentral is "partial 16S ribosomal RNA". It matches the Rfam family "Bacterial small subunit ribosomal RNA", at positions 130 to 334 of the family's 1533-position model. The record is from RNAcentral.